UGGGGAAUAUUGCACAAUGGGCGAAAGCCUGAUGCAGCGACGCCGCGUGAGGGAUGACGGCCUUCGGGUUGUAAACCUCUUUCAGCAGGGAAGAAGCGAAAGUGACGGUACCUGCAGAAGAAGCGCCGGCUAACUACGUGCCAGCAGCCGCGGUAAUACGUAGGGCGCAAGCGUUGUCCGGAAUUAUUGGGCGUAAAGAGCUCGUAGGCGGUUAGUCGCGUCUGCUGUGAAAACUCGAGGCUCAACCUCGGGCUUGCAGUGGGUACGGGCUGACUAGAGUGCGGUAGGGGUGACUGGAAUUCCUGGUGUAGCGGUGGAAUGCGCAGAUAUCAGGAGGAACACCGAUGGCGAAGGCAGGUCACUGGGCCGCAACUGACGCUGAGGAGCGAAAGCAUGGGGAGCGAACAGGAUUAGAUAGCCCUGGUAGUCCAUGCCGUAAACGUUGGGCACUAGGUGUGGGUCCAUUCCACGGAUUCCGUGCCGCAGCAAAGCGC
This 494-nucleotide ribosomal RNA is filed under the name uncultured bacterium. Its description in RNAcentral is "partial 16S ribosomal RNA". It matches the Rfam family "Bacterial small subunit ribosomal RNA", at positions 355 to 860 of the family's 1533-position model. The record is from RNAcentral.